AUUAUCUCAGAUUUUAGAGAUUAGGGCUUGAGAUUUUGAUAGAGAGCAAGAGGGAGACAAUUUUGAUCAAGGAUAUGUCGAGAGAAUAUAUUUGCCUUAGAAUUUGUGAUAGAAAAUCAAGAUUUUUGGACGGUUAAGGGGAUGGAUUUGUGGGAUUGUGGCCAGUGGAGAGCUUGAAGAAGGGUUUUGGUAUGGGACGAGAA
RNAcentral lists this long non-coding RNA (203 nucleotides) under Elaeis guineensis (African oil palm). RNAcentral's name for it is "long non-coding RNA (EGUI_LNC069153)". The record is from RNAcentral. Lineage: Eukaryota; Viridiplantae; Streptophyta; Magnoliopsida; Arecales; Arecaceae.